UGGCUCAGGACGAACGCUGGCGGCGUGCCUAAUACAUGCAAGUCGAGCGGACAGAUGGGAGCUUGCUCCCUGAUGUUAGCGGCGGACGGGUGAGUAACACGUGGGUAACCUGCCUGUAAGACUGGGAUAACUCCGGGAAACCGGGGCUAAUACCGGAUGCUUGUUUGAACCGCAUGGUUCAAACAUAAAAGGUGGCUUCGGCUACCACUUACAGAUGGACCCGCGGCGCAUUAGCUAGUUGGUGAGGUAAUGGCUCACCAAGGCGACGAUGCGUAGCCGACCUGAGAGGGUGAUCGGCCACACUGGGACUGAGACACGGCCCAGACUCCUACGGGAGGCAGCAGUAGGGAAUCUUCCGCAAUGGACGAAAGUCUGACGGAGCAACGCCGCGUGAGUGAUGAAGGUUUUCGGAUCGUAAAGCUCUGUUGUUAGGGAAGAACAAGUACCGUUCGAAUAGGGCGGUACCUUGACGGUACCUAACCAGAAAGCCACGGCUAACUACGUGCCAGCAGCCGCGGUAAUACGUAGGUGGCAAGCGUUGUCCGGAAUUAUUGGGCGUAAAGGGCUCGCAGGCGGUUUCUUAAGUCUGAUGUGAAAGCCCCCGGCUCAACCGGGGAGGGUCAUUGGAAACUGGGGAACUUGAGUGCAGAAGAGGAGAGUGGAAUUCCACGUGUAGCGGUGAAAUGCGUAGAGAUGUGGAGGAACACCAGUGGCGAAGGCGACUCUCUGGUCUGUAACUGACGCUGAGGAGCGAAAGCGUGGGGAGCGAACAGGAUUAGAUACCCUGGUAGUCCACGCCGUAAACGAUGAGUGCUAAGUGUUAGGGGGUUUCCGCCCCUUAGUGCUGCAGCUAACGCAUUAAGCACUCCGCCUGGGGAGUACGGUCGCAAGACUGAAACUCAAAGGAAUUGACGGGGGCCCGCACAAGCGGUGGAGCAUGUGGUUUAAUUCGAAGCAACGCGAAGAACCUUACCAGGUCUUGACAUCCUCUGACAAUCCUAGAGAUAGGACGUCCCCUUCGGGGGCAGAGUGACAGGUGGUGCAUGGUUGUCGUCAGCUCGUGUCGUGAGAUGUUGGGUUAAGUCCCGCAACGAGCGCAACCCUUGAUCUUAGUUGCCAGCAUUCAGUUGGGCACUCUAAGGUGACUGCCGGUGACAAACCGGAGGAAGGUGGGGAUGACGUCAAAUCAUCAUGCCCCUUAUGACCUGGGCUACACACGUGCUACAAUGGACAGAACAAAGGGCAGCGAAACCGCGAGGUUAAGCCAAUCCCACAAAUCUGUUCUCAGUUCGGAUCGCAGUCUGCAACUCGACUGCGUGAAGCUGGAAUCGCUAGUAAUCGCGGAUCAGCAUGCCGCGGUGGAAUACGUUCCCGGG
RNAcentral lists this ribosomal RNA (1376 nucleotides) under uncultured bacterium. RNAcentral describes it as "bacterial SSU rRNA". It matches the Rfam family "Bacterial small subunit ribosomal RNA", at positions 20 to 1378 of the family's 1533-position model. The record is from RNAcentral.